UUUUGCCUUUGUUCAAAAUAAGGUUUUCUAAUAAAUUAUGUUUUUAUCAGAUAUGACAGAAUCUUUUUUAAAAUCUCUUCAAUAUGCUUUUAUUGCUUUUGAGAGGUUUUGUUACUUUGAGUAAAAUUAAGUGUUCAUAACAGACGGGUAGUCAUGAUUGAGUUCAUUGUGU
Molecule: ribosomal RNA, 172 nt
Filed under: Plasmodium falciparum (malaria parasite P. falciparum)
Lineage: Eukaryota; Apicomplexa; Aconoidasida; Haemosporida; Plasmodiidae
Description: partial small subunit ribosomal RNA
Source: RNAcentral